CCCUUAGAUGUUCUGGGCCGCACGCGCGCUACACUGAUACGUUCAGCGAGUAUAUAACCUUGAUUGGAAGAUCUGGGUAAUCUUUUGAAUGCGUAUCGUGCUAGGGAUAGAUUAUUGCAAUUAUUAAUCUUGAACGAGGAAUUCCUAGUAAACGCAAGUCAUCAGCUUGCAUUGAUUACGUCCCUGCCCUUUGUACACACCGCCUGUCGCACAAACCGAUUGAAUGAUUCGGUGAAAAUUUUGGACAUCGAGAGUGGUGAUUAAUUUCGCUGCUCUUAAAUGGAAAGAAUUUAAACCUAAUUAUUUAGAGGAUUGUGAAGUCAUAACA
This 328-nucleotide ribosomal RNA is filed under the name uncultured eukaryote. RNAcentral describes it as "partial 18S ribosomal RNA". It matches the Rfam family "Eukaryotic small subunit ribosomal RNA", at positions 1470 to 1796 of the family's 1831-position model. The record is from RNAcentral.